RNAcentral lists this ribosomal RNA (793 nucleotides) under uncultured bacterium. RNAcentral describes it as "bacterial SSU rRNA". It matches the Rfam family "Bacterial small subunit ribosomal RNA", at positions 8 to 796 of the family's 1533-position model. The record is from RNAcentral.
AGAGUUUGAUCAUGGCUCAGGAUGAACGCUAGCGGCAGGCUUAAUACAUGCAAGUCGAGGGGCAGCACGAAUAGCAAUAUUUGGUGGCGACCGGCAAACGGGUGCGGAACACGUACAGAACCUUCCUUCGAGUGGGGAAUAGCCCGAAGAAAUUCGGAUUAAUACCCCAUAGCAUUAUGAAGUGGCAUCACUUUAUAAUUAAAGAUUUAUUGCUUGAAGAUGGCUGUGCGCCUGAUUAGGUAGUUGGCGGGGUAACGGCCCACCAAGCCUGCGAUCAGUAACUGGUGUGAGAGCACGACCAGUCACACGGGCACUGAGACACGGGCCCGACUCCUACGGGAGGCAGCAGUAAGGAAUAUUGGUCAAUGGACGCAAGUCUGAACCAGCCAUGCCGCGUGGAGGAUGAAGGUCCUCUGGAUUGUAAACUUCUUUUAUUUGGGAAGAAAUGUGAAAAAUCUUUUUCACUUGACGGUACCAGAUGAAUAAGCACCGGCUAACUCCGUGCCAGCAGCCGCGGUAAUACGGAGGGUGCAAGCGUUAUCCGGAUUUACUGGGUUUAAAGGGUGCGCAGGCGGAUAUGUAAGUCAGUGGUGAAAUCUUCCCGCUUAACGGGAAAACUGCCGUUGAUACUAUAUAUCUUGAAUGCUGUGGAGGUAAGCAGAAUAUGUCAUGUAGCGGUGAAAUGCUUAGAUAUGACAUAGAAUGCCUAUUGCGAAGGCAGCUUACUACGCAGAUAUUGACGCUCAUGCACGAAAGCGUGGGGAUCAAACAGGAUUAGAUACCCUAGUAGUCC